ACAGCUGAGCCCACUGUGAUCAGACACCAGCAAAAGGCCCUGUGCUUAGCAACCACAGUAGAACCUGCGUGGCGGUCAGAUGAGAUGAUGCAGUAAACGUAAUAUGUGCCCUGUGACACGCUCCACAAACGCACAGCCUGCUGUCCCAGAGCACUGCAGCACCGGUCAGAGUGGGCCCCAGGGAAGGGGUGCGCGUGCCUCCCAGAGAGUUCAGUCCAAAUGGGGAACCCCAGAACUACACUAAAGAGCCCUGGAUCCCAACCACAGAGUCUGAAAUGGAAGUUUUCAGAAAUCCUUCGUUCAAGCAGUGUCUUGAAACUAUGUAUGACCACACUUGAUCUCUUGAUGGCCGGCCCGGAGUGCAGCAGAGUGAACUGGCUGUGUACCAAUUCCAGGAUUCCCUGCAUGAAUUUGAAUCCACUUUCUGACAUCGUGACCUUCACAUUAACCCACUUUCCUAUGCUUCAGUUUCCUGCUUCAUACAACAUGACAGAAUGCGCUCACCUUGCAAACUGUUGUGAGGAACAAGUGGGAAGAUCCAGGUAAAAAGGCUACACAGAAGCAUCCAUCAUGCGUGGGACGCUGUGCUGACCUCAUCUUUAUUCCACUUAACAUCCCUCACCCGCCCAUGAUAGAGGAGCCUGGAGGCGGGAGGACGUGGGCUAUGGAUCCCAGCAACCCCAAAGCCUGGCACACAGGAGGCCCUCAAUGAACCCAGUGAUGUCGAAGUGUGCAGGCACCACAUAGGUUCUCACCUACAGUGACUCAGAACCUUGGUGUCGACAGCACAUUUAAUCUAAGUCUCGGCUGGGCGAGGUGGCUCAGGCCUAUAAUCCCAGCACCUUGGGAGGCUGAGGCAGGCAGAUCACCUGAUGUCAGAAG
Molecule: long non-coding RNA, 882 nt
Organism: Piliocolobus tephrosceles (Ugandan red Colobus)
Lineage: Eukaryota; Metazoa; Chordata; Mammalia; Primates; Cercopithecidae
Exons: 3
Source: RefSeq, a predicted model, not a curated record